Ipomoea nil (Japanese morning glory) is the source of this 103-nucleotide long non-coding RNA. RefSeq lists it as uncharacterized. The transcript has 3 exons. The record is from RefSeq and is a predicted model, not a curated record. Lineage: Eukaryota; Viridiplantae; Streptophyta; Magnoliopsida; Solanales; Convolvulaceae.
CGUGCUAUAAAUCCUCGGCCUUUCACGGCUGCACACAAACACACAUACAUACGAGUAACCUCAGCCAAGUUGGUUAAAUUUUAAACUUUUGAAUACUAUGUUA